Molecule: transfer RNA, 73 nt
Filed under: Marmota monax (woodchuck)
Lineage: Eukaryota; Metazoa; Chordata; Mammalia; Rodentia; Sciuridae
Rfam family: tRNA
About the family: Transfer RNA (tRNA) molecules are approximately 80 nucleotides in length. Their secondary structure includes four short double-helical elements and three loops (D, anti-codon, and T loops).
Source: Rfam by way of RNAcentral
GAGGGUGGAGCUCAGUUGGUAGAAUAUGUGUUUAACAUGCAUGAAGCCCUGGAUUCAAUCCCCAGCACCUCCC